GCAUAACGCGAAGAACCUUACCCACCUUUGACAUGUACGGAAGUUACCAGAGAUGGUUUCGUGCUCGAAAGAGAACCGUAACACAGGUGCUGCAUGGCUGUCGUCAGCUCGUGUCGUGAGAUGUUGGGUUAAGUCCCGCAACGAGCGCAACCCUUGCCAUUAGUUGCUACAUUUAGUUGGGCACUCUAAUGGGACUGCCGGUGACAAACCGGAGGAAGGUGGGGAUGACGUCAAGUCCUCAUCGGCCCUUAUAGGGUGGGGCUACACACGUCAUACAAUGGCUGGUACAGAAGGUUGCCAACCCGCGAGGGGGAGCUAAUCCUAUAAAAGCCAGUCGUAGUCCGGAUCGCAGUCUGCAACUCGACUGCGUGAAGUCGGAAUCGCUAGUAAUCGCGGAUCAGAAUGUCGCGGUGAAUACGUUCCCGGGUCUUGUACACACCG
This 441-nucleotide ribosomal RNA is filed under the name uncultured bacterium. RNAcentral's name for it is "bacterial SSU rRNA". It matches the Rfam family "Bacterial small subunit ribosomal RNA", at positions 954 to 1392 of the family's 1533-position model. The record is from RNAcentral.